This 337-nucleotide unclassified non-coding RNA is filed under the name soil metagenome. RNAcentral's name for it is "partial contains 5.8S ribosomal RNA, internal transcribed spacer 2, and large subunit ribosomal RNA". The stretch from base 1 to 120 matches the Rfam family "5.8S ribosomal RNA", at positions 35 to 154 of the family's 154-position model. The record is from RNAcentral.
GAUGAAGAACGCAGCGAAAUGCGAUAAGUAGUGUGAAUUGCAGAAUUCAGUGAAUCAUCGAAUCUUUGAACGCACAUUGCGCCCCUUGGUAUUCCAUGGGGCAUGCCUGUUCGAGCGUCAUUUGUACCUUCAAGCUUUGCUUGGUGUUGGGUGUUUGUCUCGCCUCUGCGUGUAGACUCGCCUUAAAACAAUUGGCAGCCGGCGUAUUGAUUUCGGAGCGCAGUACAUCUCGCGCUUUGCACUCAUAACGACGACGUCCACAAGUACAUUUUUACACUCUUGACCUCGGAUCAGGUAGGGAUACCCGCUGAACUUAAGCAUAUCAAUAAGCGGAGGA